UUAAAGUUUGAUUUUAGCUUUUAUAUUUAUUUAAAGAUUUACUUUCAUGGAAAUUUUUGUGGGUUUAAAAAAUUUUUUUAAAAAAAAUUUUUAAUAAAAAUAUUAUUUAUUAUUCAGUUUAUAAAAUUAUUUAUUAAAGAAAUUUAGAAUUAAAAAUUUUUAUAGUAUAAGUUAAAAUUGUGCCAGCAGCUGCGGUUAUACAAUUUAUUCAAAUAAAUAUUAUUUAUAUAUAAAUUUAUUAAUUUAGAAAUAUUAUAUUAUUAAGAUAAAAGUAAUUAAGUGAAAUUUUUAUUUUUUGAAUAAAAAUAUUUUAAUUAAAUUAUUUUAUGAAAUUUUAUUAAUAAACUAGGAUUAGAUACCCUAUUAUUUAAAAUUUAAAAUAUUAGUAUAAAAGAAUAAUAGUUAUGUUCUUUAAAUUUAAAAAAAUUGGCGGUGUUUAAAACUAAUUAGGGGAACUUGUUUUUUAAAUGAUAAUCCGCAUGAUACCUUACUUUAAUUUAUUUAGUUUAUUUACUGCCGUUAUCAGAUUAUUUUUUAAAAAUUUAAAUUUUCUAAAUUAUUAAAUAGAUAUUUAUUUCAGGUCAUGGUGUAAUUUAUAUUAAAGUAAAAAUGAGUUACAAUAAAUUUUAUUUAUUUAUGAAAAUUUAAUUGAAAUAUUAAAUUGAAGGUGGACUUAAUAGUAAAUUAAAAUAAGUAUAUUUAUUUGAAUUAAGAAUUAAAUGUGUACAUAUUGCCCGUCGCUCUCGUUUUAAGAUGAGAUAAGUCGUAACAUAGUAGAGGUACUGGAAAGUGUUUCUAGAAAUUUU
RNAcentral lists this non-coding RNA (806 nucleotides) under Athalia icar. Lineage: Eukaryota; Metazoa; Arthropoda; Insecta; Hymenoptera; Athaliidae. The record is from RNAcentral.